GCCGAUGUAGCUCAGUUGGUCAGAGCAGCUGAUUUGUAAUCAGCAGGUCGUGGGUUCGAAUCCCCCCAUCGGCU
RNAcentral lists this transfer RNA (74 nucleotides) under Bacteroidota bacterium. RNAcentral's name for it is "Bacteroidetes bacterium (sediment metagenome) tRNA-Thr". It matches the Rfam family "tRNA". From Rfam's summary of the family: Transfer RNA (tRNA) molecules are approximately 80 nucleotides in length. The record is from RNAcentral. Lineage: Bacteria; Pseudomonadati; Bacteroidota. RNAcentral also lists the same sequence under 2 other names.